GAUGAACGCUGGCGGCGUGCCUAAUACAUGCAAGUCGAGCGAACAGAUGAGGAGCUUGCUCCUCUGACGUUAGCGGCGGACGGGUGAGUAACACGUGGAUAACCUACCUAUAAGACUGGGAUAACUUCGGGAAACCGGAGCUAAUACCGGAUAAUAUAUUGAACCGCAUGGUUCAAUAGUGAAAGACGGCUUUGCUGUCACUUAUAGAUGGAUCCGCGCCGCAUUAGCUAGUUGGUAAGGUAACGGCUUACCAAGGCAACGAUGCGUAGCCGACCUGAGAGGGUGAUCGGCCACACUGGAACUGAGACACGGUCCAGACUCCUACGGGAGGCAGCAGUAGGGAAUCUUCCGCAAUGGGCGAAAGCCUGACGGAGCAACGCCGCGUGAGUGAUGAAGGUCUUCGGAUCGUAAAACUCUGUUAUUAGGGAAGAACAAAUGUGUAAGUAACUAUGCACGUCUUGACGGUACCUAAUCAGAAAGCCCCGGCUAACUACGUG
This 497-nucleotide ribosomal RNA is filed under the name uncultured bacterium. RNAcentral's name for it is "partial 16S ribosomal RNA". It matches the Rfam family "Bacterial small subunit ribosomal RNA", at positions 28 to 507 of the family's 1533-position model. The record is from RNAcentral.